This is a long non-coding RNA of Anguilla anguilla (European eel), 1026 nucleotides long. RefSeq lists it as uncharacterized. The transcript is spliced from 2 exons. The record is from RefSeq and is a predicted model, not a curated record. NCBI's taxonomy places the organism in Eukaryota, Metazoa, Chordata, Actinopteri, Anguilliformes, Anguillidae.
ACCUCCCUCAGUCAGACUGCACAGAGACUGCACUGCUGCAGCUGGGACCUACUGCAGGUGCUGAGGGGGGAGGCACUGGUCUGGGACAGCAGUACUGCCAACUGGGCUGUAGGGGGCAACAAUGAGCCACAGCUCUGAAUGCACACCUCUCUGUGCUGAAGAGGAGCUGCUCUGUGUCACACACACUGAACCCAUAGCAGAGCUGCUGCUGAACCACACACACUUCUGUACCACAACAUCACAGGCAUCAUACAGUACAUCAGCUCACAAGCAGCAAUCAUCUCCAUAUUGCUCUUGAGUUCAGACUAAUGCAGAGGAUGUGUACAUUCUCCCAGAGGUGGAAUGAGAGUGGUUUCAAAUGAAUUGCUUCCAGAAAAGAUAUUAUGAGUUUGUAUUCAAUGCAUACACAAUAUUUAUUAUAUGAAAGGUGUUUCUGUUCAAAUGGGAUCCAGGUUUAAGCUCGGCUGUGCUGGACUGAAUCAUAGUAUCAGAUUUUUACAGUUCUGUUCAAUUGUCUUUCAGUAUUAAUUUUGGUUUCAGUUUGCUCUUCCAUCAUACUUACCUCCAUUACAUUUUCCAUAGACAGUAUGUGCUUACAUGGAGGCAUAAAGACAUGGAGGCAUAAAAAAUUUUCAUAUAGUUUUGUUGGACGUAUUUACCUGUAGAUGUGCCACACAGUUACUGCUUCCCCUAUCCAAUAUACUUCUCUGCUUCCACCACCAGUGAAUACCUUCUGUGGUGACACUAAUGAAUCAGAAGUUAAAGAAUGGACACAACCCACCAUUCUCAUCAGACUUUUACAAGAUAUAAUGCAGUGUGCAGGCACGUUUGAGAAGGAGCUAAUCGGAUUAAAUGUCUCACUUCAGGAAGUUCCUAUUGACAAAUUAGGAUGACUGAAACAGAACUCAUUGAAGCUAUUGAUUUUAUUAUAAUGCUGAAUACUAUAUCUGCAAAUUGUUUUAGCAUGCAACAUGCAGAUAGCAAAUAUAAACAACUUUUGGUUAAAAUAAAAUGUUCUACUUUAAA